RNAcentral lists this ribosomal RNA (462 nucleotides) under uncultured bacterium. RNAcentral describes it as "partial 16S ribosomal RNA". It matches the Rfam family "Bacterial small subunit ribosomal RNA", at positions 28 to 507 of the family's 1533-position model. The record is from RNAcentral.
GAUGAACGCCGACAGAAUGCUUAACACAUGCAAGUCAUUGGCGAAGCUGCGCUUGCGCAGUUUAGCCAAGGCGGACGGGUGAGUAACGCGUAAGGAACUUGCCCUGCAGACAGGGAUAACAGACGGAAACGACUGAUAACACCUGGUAUUGUCAGGCUGGCGCAUGCCGGCCUGAUGAAAGGAGACGCUGCAGGAGAGCCUUGCGUCCUAUUAGCUAGUUGGUGGGGUAACGGCCCACCAAGGCGAUGAUAGGUAGCCGGCCUGAGAGGGUGAACGGCCACAAGGGGACUGAGAUACGGCCCUUACUCCUACGGGAGGCGGCAGUGGGGAAUAUUGGACAAUGGGGGCAACCCUGAUCCAGCAAUUCUGUGUGCACGAAGAAGGUUUUCGGAUUGUAAAGUGCUUUCAGCAGGGAAGAAGAAAGUGACGGUACCUGCAGAAGAAGCGACGGCUAAAUACGUG